UACGGAGGAUCCGAGCGUUAUCCGGAUUUAUUGGGUUUAAAGGGUGCGUAGGCGGCCUGUUAAGUCAGGGGUGAAAGACGGUAGCUCAACUAUCGCAGUGCCCUUGAUACUGAUGGGCUCGAAUGUACUAGAGGUAGGCGGAAUGUGACAAGUAGCGGUGAAAUGCAUAGAUAUGUCACAGAACACCAAUUGCGAAGGCAGCUUACUAUGGUAUAAUUGACGCUGAGGCACGAAAGCGUGGGGAUCAAACAGG
This 253-nucleotide ribosomal RNA is filed under the name uncultured bacterium. RNAcentral describes it as "partial 16S ribosomal RNA". It matches the Rfam family "Bacterial small subunit ribosomal RNA", at positions 524 to 776 of the family's 1533-position model. The record is from RNAcentral.